Molecule: ribosomal RNA, 806 nt
Filed under: uncultured Bacillota bacterium
Lineage: Bacteria; Bacillati; Bacillota
Description: bacterial SSU rRNA
Rfam family: Bacterial small subunit ribosomal RNA
Source: RNAcentral
AGGAGAGUUUGAUCCUGGCUCAGGAUGAACGCUGGCGGCGUGCUUAACACAUGCAAGUCGAACGGACUUGUUCCGCUGUAAGACGACGUGCUUGCAUUGAAUCUUACUUGGGACAAGUUAGUGGCGGACGGGUGAGUAACGCGUGGGGAACCUGCCUGUAUCUGGGGGAUAACAGUUAGAAAUGACUGCUAAUACCGCAUAAGCGCACACUGUCGCAUGACAGAGUGUGAAAAACUGAGGUGGAUACAGAUGGACCCGCGUUGGAUUAGCCAGUUGGUGGGGUAACGGCCUACCAAAGCGACGAUCCAUAGCCGGCCUGAGAGGGCGACCGGCCACAUUGGGACUGAGACACGGCCCAAACUCCUACGGGAGGCAGCAGUGGGGAAUAUUGCACAAUGGGGGAAACCCUGAUGCAGCGACGCCGCGUGAGCGAAGAAGUAUUUCGGUAUGUAAAGCUCUAUCAGCAGGGAAGAUGAUGACGGUACCUGACUAAGAAGCCCCGGCUAACCACGUGCCAGCAGCCGCGGUAAUACGUAGGGGGCAAGCGUUAUCCGGAUUUACUGGGUGUAAAGGGAGCGCAGGCGGCCCGGCAAGUCUGAUGUGAAAACCCAAGGCUCAACCAUGGGAUUGCAUUGGAAACUGUCGAGCUAGAGUAUCGGAGGGGUAAGUGGAAUUCCUAGUGUAGCGGUGAAAUGCGUAGAUAUUAGGAGGAACACCAGUGGCGAAGGCGGCUUACUGGACGAUAACUGACGCUGAGGCUCGAAAGCGUGGGGAGCAAACAGGAUUAGAUACCCUGGUAGUCCCCU